GGGUUGUGAGGUUAAGCGACUAAGCGUACACGGUGGAUGCCCUGGCAGUCAGAGGCGAUGAAGGGCGUGCUAAUCUGCGAUAAGCGCCGGUAAGGUGAUAUGAACCGUUAUAACCGGCGAUACCCGAAUGGGGAAACCCAGUGUGAUUCGUCACACUAUCAUUAACUGAAUCCAUAGGUUAAUGAGGCGAACCGGGGGAACUGAAACAUCUAAGUACCCCGAGGAAAAGAAAUCAACCGAGAUUCCCCCAGUAGCGGCGAGCGAACGGGGAGGAGCCCAGAGCCUGAAUCAGCAUGUGUGUUAGUGGAAGCGUCUGGAAAGGCGCGCGAUACAGGGUGACAGCCCCGUACACAAAAGCGCAUGUGCUGUGAGCUCGAUGAGUAGGGCGGGACACGUGGUAUCCUGUCUGAAUAUGGGGGGACCAUCCUCCAAGGCUAAAUACUCCUGACUGACCGAUAGUGAACCAGUACCGUGAGGGAAAGGCGAAAAGAACCCCGGCGAGGGGAGUGAAAAAGAACCUGAAACCGUGUACGUACAAGCAGUGGGAGCCCCACCACUAAGCCAGUGGUGAACUCCACAUCCGCAUCCUUUGCUGAGGAUACGGUUAACGGAGCGAAAGCGACGUUCAACCGCAAAACAAGCAGAGGGGGCUUAGUGGUGGGGUGACUGCGUACCUUUUGUAUAAUGGGUCAGCGACUUAUAUUCUGUAGCAAGGUUAACCGAAUAGGGGAGCCGGAGGGAAACCGAGUCUUAAUUGGGCGUUAAGUUGCAGGGUAUAGACCCGAAACCCGGUGAUCUAGCCAUGGGCAGGUUGAAGGUUGGGUAACACUAACUGGAGGACCGAACCGACUAAUGUUGAAAAAUUAGCGGAUGACCUGUGGCUGGGGGUGAAAGGCCAAUCAAACCGGGAGAUAGCUGGUUCUCCCCGAAAGCUAUUUAGGUAGCGCCUCGUGAAUUCAUCUCCGGGGGUAGAGCACUGUUUCGGCUAGGGGGCCAUCCCGGCUUACCAACCCGAUGCAAACUGCGAAUACCGGAGAAUGUUAUCACGGGAGACACACGGCGGGUGCUAACGUCCGUCGUGAAGAGGGAAACAACCCAGACCGCCAGCUAAGGUCCCAAAGUCAUGGUUAAGUGGGAAACGAUGUGGGAAGGCCCAGACAGCCAGGAUGUUGGCUUAGAAGCAGCCAUCAUUUAAAGAAAGCGUAAUAGCUCACUGGUCGAGUCGGCCUGCGCGGAAGAUGUAACGGGGCUAAACCAUGCACCGAAGCUGCGGCAGCGAACGUAUCACUUAAAGCGAUUCAGCGGGUUACGAUUGACGGAGCGAAGCGACGUCAAAGCGUAUACAAAGUCGAGUCGGUUUAAGGAUACGUUCGUUGGGUAGGGGAGCGUUCUGUAAGCCCGUGAAGGUGGCCUGUGAGGGUUGCUGGAGGUAUCAGAAGUGCGAAUGCUGACAUAAGUAACGAUAAAGCGGGUGAAAAGCCCGCUCGCCGGAAGACCAAGGGUUCCUGUCCAACGUUAAUCGGGGCAGGGUGAGUCGACCCCUAAGGCGAGGCCGAAAGGCGUAGUCGAUGGGAAACGGGUUAAUAUUCCCGUACUUGGUGUUACUGCGAAGGGGGGACGGAGAAGGCUAUGUUGGCCGGGCGACGGUUGUCCCGGUUUAAGCGUGUAGGUGUGUGUUCCAGGUAAAUCCGGUUCACUUUAACACUGAGGCGUGACGACGAGGCACUACGGUGCUGAAGCAACAAAUGCCCUGCUUCCAGGAAAAGCCUCUAAGCAUCAGGUAACACGAAAUCGUACCCCAAACCGACACAGGUGGUCAGGUAGAGAAUACCAAGGCGCUUGAGAGAACUCGGGUGAAGGAACUAGGCAAAAUGGUGCCGUAACUUCGGGAGAAGGCACGCUGACACGUAGGUGAAGUGAUUUACUCAUGGAGCUGAAGUCAGUCGAAGAUACCAGCUGGCUGCAACUGUUUAUUAAAAACACAGCACUGUGCAAACACGAAAGUGGACGUAUACGGUGUGACGCCUGCCCGGUGCCGGAAGGUUAAUUGAUGGGGUCAGCGCAAGCGAAGCUCCUGAUCGAAGCCCCGGUAAACGGCGGCCGUAACUAUAACGGUCCUAAGGUAGCGAAAUUCCUUGUCGGGUAAGUUCCGACCUGCACGAAUGGCGUAAUGAUGGCCAGGCUGUCUCCACCCGAGACUCAGUGAAAUUGAACUCGCUGUGAAGAUGCAGUGUACCCGCGGCAAGACGGAAAGACCCCGUGAACCUUUACUAUAGCUUGACACUGAACAUUGAGCCUUGAUGUGUAGGAUAGGUGGGAGGCUUUGAAGUGUGGACGCCAGUCUGCAUGGAGCCGACCUUGAAAUACCACCCUUUAAUGUUUGAUGUUCUAACGUGGACCCGUAAUCCGGGUUGCGGACAGUGUCUGGUGGGUAGUUUGACUGGGGCGGUCUCCUCCUAAAGAGUAACGGAGGAGCACGAAGGUUGGCUAAUCCUGGUCGGACAUCAGGAGGUUAGUGCAAUGGCAUAAGCCAGCUUGACUGCGAGCGUGACGGCGCGAGCAGGUGCGAAAGCAGGUCAUAGUGAUCCGGUGGUUCUGAAUGGAAGGGCCAUCGCUCAACGGAUAAAAGGUACUCCGGGGAUAACAGGCUGAUACCGCCCAAGAGUUCAUAUCGACGGCGGUGUUUGGCACCUCGAUGUCGGCUCAUCACAUCCUGGGGCUGAAGUAGGUCCCAAGGGUAUGGCUGUUCGCCAUUUAAAGUGGUACGCGAGCUGGGUUUAGAACGUCGUGAGACAGUUCGGUCCCUAUCUGCCGUGGGCGCUGGAGAACUGAGGGGGGCUGCUCCUAGUACGAGAGGACCGGAGUGGACGCAUCACUGGUGUUCGGGUUGUCAUGCCAAUGGCACUGCCCGGUAGCUAAAUGCGGAAGAGAUAAGU
Molecule: ribosomal RNA, 2936 nt
Filed under: Salmonella enterica subsp. enterica serovar Typhimurium
Lineage: Bacteria; Pseudomonadati; Pseudomonadota; Gammaproteobacteria; Enterobacterales; Enterobacteriaceae
Description: bacterial LSU rRNA
Rfam family: Bacterial large subunit ribosomal RNA
Source: RNAcentral